GUUCUCCUUUCGGUAAGGGCCCAGGUAGACCACCUGGUUGAUAGGCCGCAGGUGCAAGGCGUGCGAGCGCCUCAGCCGAGCGGCACUAAUCGCCCGAGCUCUUC
This 104-nucleotide ribosomal RNA is filed under the name Collinsella tanakaei. Its description in RNAcentral is "partial 23S ribosomal RNA". The stretch from base 14 to 97 matches the Rfam family "Bacterial large subunit ribosomal RNA", at positions 2829 to 2912 of the family's 2925-position model. The record is from RNAcentral. Lineage: Bacteria; Bacillati; Actinomycetota; Coriobacteriia; Coriobacteriales; Coriobacteriaceae.